AGUGAACGCUGGCGGUAGGCCUAACACAUGCAAGUCGAACGGCAGCACAGUAAGAGCUUGCUCUUACGGGUGGCGAGUGGCGGACGGGUGAGGAAUACAUCGGAAUCUACUUUUUCGUGGGGGAUAACGUAGGGAAACCUACGCUAAUGCCGCAUACGACCUACGGGUGAAAGCAGGGGAUCUUCGGACCUUGCGCGAUUGAAUGAGCCGAUGUCGGAUUAGCUAGUUGGCGGGGUAAAGGCCCACCAAGGCGACGAUCCGUAGCUGGUCUGAGAGGAUGAUCAGCCACACUGGAACUGAGACACGGUCCAGACUCCUACGGGAGGCAGCAGUGGGGAAUAUUGGACAAUGGGCGCAAGCCUGAUCCAGCCAUACCGCGUGGGUGAAGAAGGCCUUCGGGUUGUAAAGCCCUUUUGUUGGGAAAGAAAAGCAGCAGGUUAAUACCCCGCUGUUCUGACGGUACCCAAAGAAUAAGCACCGGCUAACUUCGUG
Molecule: ribosomal RNA, 492 nt
Filed under: uncultured bacterium
Lineage: Bacteria
Description: partial 16S ribosomal RNA
Rfam family: Bacterial small subunit ribosomal RNA
Source: RNAcentral